ACCUAUGAGAGCAAGUAAAAAAAGCUCUGAGGUGAGAUAAGCUUGUCAUUUUCAAGGACGAACAAGAAGGCUGGAAUGGCUGAGUCAGCAAAGUUGCCUGACAGGGAAAAAUCUCAGAAAGCUUGUCAAAACACAGUUGAUGAGGAGCCCAGAAGAUCAUGGUGUGAUGAUGAGUAUUAAGUGUAACAGAAUUUAGAGACAGCAGGGGCUGGUCCCAGUCUAGACUGACAUCUCUGAUGUGAUCAUGCACAGAGGCAAACAGACUACGGCCAACACAAAUGCCAUGUGGCCACAGCUGGCCUUCUGGGCUCACCCUUGGCCCAGCUGAGCCAGUCAGAGAGGGUCUCAGUUUCUGCUGAUGCCAAAACCUGAGUACAUUCAGGAGUGAUGCAUAGUAGUGUUCUGCUCCGUGGGCCGGAGAUUCAGGAACACAGGGGCUGCAGUAGACAGAAUCAGAGACAAGGGAUCCACGGAGACCCAACAGCACAUCCGUCCCUCAUUCCCAGCCCUCCUAAGGCCCUGCUGCCUCUUGUCCUUCCUUCUGAGACUGUAUCCUUAUAGUAAAUUCACCUUCAGCUUGGGCCAGUUCCACCUGAUUUCUGUUCCUUAAGGCCAGAGAAUCUUAGCCUAAAGAAAGCUUACAGUACAACAGUCUCCUCCUUGCCUUAGAUGCAUUAUUAGAGGCUGUGGAGGGCUGAGUUGCUGAGUGUGGCCAGUUAUGGUUCCCAGCAGGUAUUAUGAGGAUCUCUUCUCAAACCCAUAUUCAGUGAUACCACAUCAACCUUGAUGGGAGUAGUUACACCACAAGAACUGGCAAAUGUUAUGAAACAGGACUUUUCGUUUCCAGAGCACUAGUUGCUAAACAUUUCCCAGUACACCUUUCUAGAGGUACAGACCAAUGGGCUGUAGAGUCUGAAUUCACAUGCCAGCACCGCCACUUCCUGCCUUAGCCAGGCUCCAUGUUUGGGGGAAGAAGCACAGGACUGCUUAUGGCCUCACCCUUGAGGAGUAUGAGGAGUAUCUCAUCAGUACUGUCCUCCGUCCUCUCCAGCCUUGACCGAAAGAUAAGCAUCUUGAUGAUCUUGAGCAUCGACCUCCCUCUCCUUAGUGUGCACCCCAAUCCCAAACCUCCAUCUACCUUACUUCCUGCCAUACUCUUUGCACUGGCCUUGUACACUGACUGCUUAUGAGGAAGCCCUGUGGUGGUCUCCUGCUGUUGGGCCCCACCUCAGUUUAAAGGGUGCUACUCAUCCACCAAGAAUCAACUACAUUUUCUACACAGUCCCUGGGGUGGGCUGUCCAUGCCACAUACUGUGCAAAGGAGUUCCCA
Molecule: long non-coding RNA, 1330 nt
Organism: Bos taurus (domestic cattle)
Lineage: Eukaryota; Metazoa; Chordata; Mammalia; Artiodactyla; Bovidae
Source: Ensembl